This 228-nucleotide ribosomal RNA is filed under the name uncultured bacterium. RNAcentral describes it as "partial 16S ribosomal RNA". It matches the Rfam family "Bacterial small subunit ribosomal RNA", at positions 103 to 334 of the family's 1533-position model. The record is from RNAcentral.
CGGGUGAGUAAUGCUUGGGAAUCUGGCUUAUGGGGGGGGAUAACUACGGGAAACUGUAGCUAAUACCGCGUAGUGUCGAGAGACGAAAGUGCGGGACCGCAAGGCCGCAUGCCAUGAGAUGAGCCCAAGUGGGAUUAGGUAGUUGGUGGGGUAAAGGCCUACCAAGCCUGCGAUCUCUAGCUGGUCUGAGAGGAUGGCCAGCCACACUGGAACUGAGACACGGUCCAG